Molecule: ribosomal RNA, 462 nt
Filed under: uncultured bacterium
Lineage: Bacteria
Description: partial 16S ribosomal RNA
Rfam family: Bacterial small subunit ribosomal RNA
Source: RNAcentral
GACGAACGCUGGCGGCGUGCUUAACACAUGCAAGUCGAGCGGAAAGGCCCUUCGGGGUACUCGAUCGGCGAACGGGCGAGUAACACGUGAAUAACUUGCCCCCCACUCUGGGAUAACGCUCUGACAUGGGGGCAAAUACCGUAUACGACACAGCUUCGCUUGGGGGCUGUGUUCAAAGGUUUGCGGCUUGGGAUAGGCUCGCUGCCUAUGAGCUCGUUGGUCGGUUGCUGGCUUACCAAGUCACCGCCGGGUAGCCGACCUGAGAGUGGGACCGGCGACACUAGGACUGAGACACGGCGCAGACUGCAACGGGAGGCAGCGGUGGGGAGUAUUGCACAGUGGACGGAAGCCUGAGGCAGCGACGCCGCGUGAGGAAUGACGGCCUUCGGGUUGUGAACCUCUGUCAGCAGGGACGAGGCGUAAGUGACGGUACCUGCAGAGGAAGCGCCGGCUAACUACGUG